Molecule: transfer RNA, 26 nt
Filed under: Rhinoceros sondaicus (Javan rhinoceros)
Lineage: Eukaryota; Metazoa; Chordata; Mammalia; Perissodactyla; Rhinocerotidae
Description: partial tRNA-Ser
Source: RNAcentral
GAGAAAGCACGCAAGAACUGCUAACU